AAAAAAGCGAGAAGAUAAUUGCUUAUUGUGAAAGAAACAUCCAUAGAAAGGUAAGAUGUAGCAAGAGCUAGAGUUAUGCACUUGUGUUGGUUAAUUGCUGAAGUAGCUGGACUUUCUCAAGAAUUGAGAUAUUACCCUCAGUUUCAAAUAAUGUGUUUAUGGUUGCAGAAUUUAGUUUUAGGAUGUAACUGAAGAAUUCUAAAAAAGAAAAGAAAAAUUUCCAAAAUUCAAGUUUAAGGUACAUCUCAAAUAAAUGUUUCCACCAUGUAGGAUAUAUAUACUUGCACCAUUACUACAUAAUCCUUUAUAAAAAUAGAAC
Molecule: unclassified non-coding RNA, 319 nt
Filed under: Hevea brasiliensis (rubber tree)
Lineage: Eukaryota; Viridiplantae; Streptophyta; Magnoliopsida; Malpighiales; Euphorbiaceae
Source: RNAcentral